This 557-nucleotide ribosomal RNA is filed under the name Theileria capreoli. RNAcentral describes it as "SSU rRNA". It matches the Rfam family "Eukaryotic small subunit ribosomal RNA", at positions 512 to 1098 of the family's 1831-position model. The record is from RNAcentral. Lineage: Eukaryota; Apicomplexa; Aconoidasida; Piroplasmida; Theileriidae.
GAAUGAUGGGAAUUUAAACCUCUUCCAGAGUAUCAAUUGGAGGGCAAGUCUGGUGCCAGCAGCCGCGGUAAUUCCAGCUCCAAUAGCGUAUAUUAAAAUUGUUGCAGUUAAAAAGCUCGUAGUUGAAUUUCUGCUGCAUUGCAUUUUCUCCUAUACGAGUUUUUGCAUUGUGGCUUAUUUCGGUUAUAAAAUUUAUUUUAUUUCCGGAUGUUUACUUUGAGAAAAUUAGAGUGCUCAAAGCAGGCUUUUGCCUUGAAUAGUUUAGCAUGGAAUAAUAAAGUAGGACUUUGGUUCUAUUUUGUUGGUUUUAGGUACCAAAGUAAUGGUUAAUAGGAACAGUUGGGGGCAUUCGUAUUUAACUGUCAGAGGUGAAAUUCUUAGAUUUGUUAAAGACGAACUACUGCGAAAGCAUUUGCCAAGGAUGUUUUCAUUAAUCAAGAACGAAAGUUAGGGGAUCGAAGACGAUCAGAUACCGUCGUAGUCCUAACCAUAAACUAUGCCGACUAGAGAUUGGAGGUCGUCAGUUUUUACGACUCCUUCAGCACCUUGAGAGAAAU